CAGCAGCCGCGGUAAUACGUAGGGUGCAAGCGUUAAUUGGAAUUACUGGGCGUAAAGCGUGCGCAGGCGGUUAUAUAAGACAGAUGUGAAAUCCCCGGGCUCAACCUGGGAACUGCAUUUGUGACUGUAUAGCUAGAGUACGGCAGAGGGGGAUGGAAUUCCGCGUGUAGCAGUGAAAUGCGUAGAUAUGCGGAGGAACACCGAUGGCGAAGGCAAUCCCCUGGGCCUGUACUGACGCUCAUGCACGAAAGCGUGGGGAGCAAACAGGAUUAGAUACCCCCGUAGUCCCUGUCUCUUAUAC
Molecule: ribosomal RNA, 301 nt
Filed under: uncultured bacterium
Lineage: Bacteria
Description: partial 16S ribosomal RNA
Rfam family: Bacterial small subunit ribosomal RNA
Source: RNAcentral